RNAcentral lists this ribosomal RNA (497 nucleotides) under uncultured bacterium. RNAcentral describes it as "partial 16S ribosomal RNA". It matches the Rfam family "Bacterial small subunit ribosomal RNA", at positions 28 to 507 of the family's 1533-position model. The record is from RNAcentral.
GAUGAACGCUGGCGGCGUGCCUUAUACAUGCAAGUCGAGCGAACAGACGCGUAGCUUUCUUGUCUGACGUUAGCCGCGUACGUGUUAGUUACACGUGGAUAACCUACCUAUAGGUCUGGGAUCACUUCCUGUAAUCGUACCUCAUAUCGUCUAAGAUAUUGAACCGCAUGGUUCACUAGUGUAAUUCGGUUUUGCUGUUACUUAUAGAUGAUUCCGCGCCGCAUUAGCUAGUUGGUAAGGUAAAGGCAUACCAAGGCGACGAUGCGUAGCCGAUCUGAGAGGAUGAUCGGCCACACUGGGACUGAGACACGGCCCAGACUCCUACGGGAGGCAGCAGUAGGGAAUCUUGGACAAAGGGCGAAAGCCUGACGCAGCAAUGCCGCGUGAGGGAAGAAGGUCUUCGGGUUGUAAAACGCUGUUGGCAGGAACGAAAAGAUGUGCAAGAAAAUAGGGAGGUAAUGACGGUACCUGAAGAAAAAGCAACGGCUAACUACGUG